GAGCAGUGAUGAACAUGGAUUUGCCUGACUAUUAAAAAAAUGAAGGCUUCUACACUUGAACUGAGCUCA
Molecule: small nucleolar RNA, 69 nt
Organism: Apteryx haastii (Great spotted kiwi)
Lineage: Eukaryota; Metazoa; Chordata; Aves; Apterygiformes; Apterygidae
Source: Ensembl